GAAUUGCGAUAAGUAAUGUGAAUUGCAGAAUUCAGUGAAUCAUCGAAUCUUUGAACGCACAUUGCGCCCGCCAGUAUUCUGGCGGGCAUGCCUGUUCGAGCGUCAUUUCAACCAUCAAGCCCCCGGCUUGUGUUGGGGACCUGCGGCUGCCCGCAGGCCCUGAAAAACAGUGGCGGGCUCGCUGUCACACCGAGCGUAGUAGCAUACAUUCUCGCUCAGGGCGUGCUGCGGGUUCCGGCCGUUAAACGACCUUCAUAACCCAAGGUUGACCUCGGAUCAGGUAGGAAGACCCGCUGAACUUAAGC
This 305-nucleotide unclassified non-coding RNA is filed under the name plant metagenome. RNAcentral describes it as "partial contains 5.8S ribosomal RNA, internal transcribed spacer 2, and large subunit ribosomal RNA". The stretch from base 1 to 105 matches the Rfam family "5.8S ribosomal RNA", at positions 50 to 154 of the family's 154-position model. The record is from RNAcentral.